RNAcentral lists this ribosomal RNA (872 nucleotides) under uncultured archaeon. RNAcentral's name for it is "bacterial SSU rRNA". It matches the Rfam family "Archaeal small subunit ribosomal RNA", at positions 1 to 879 of the family's 1478-position model. The record is from RNAcentral.
UUCCGGUUGAUCCUGCCGGAGGCUACUGCUAUUGGAAUUCGACUAAGCCAUGCGAGUCAAGGUGUCUUCGGACGCCGGCAUACGGCUCAGUAACACGUAGGUAACCUACCCUCAGGACUGAGAUAACCCCGGGAAACUGGGGCUAAUAUUAGAUAGAUAAAAGAUACUGGAAUGUUCUUUUAUUCAAAGCUUUUGCGCCUGAGGAUGGGCCUGCGCCCGAUUAGGUUGUUGGUGGGGUAAUGGCCCACCAAGCCUAUGAUCGGUACGGGCAGUGGGAGCUGAAGCCCGGAGUUGGGGACUGAGACAAGGCCCCAGGCCCUACGGGGCGCAGCAGGCGCGAAACCUCUGCAAUGCGGGAAACCGUGACAGGGGAAUUCCAAGUGCUCAUGCAUUGCAUGGGCUGUUCUUUGGUCUAAGUAACCAGAGGAGUAAGGGCUGGGCAAGACCGGUGCCAGCCGCCGCGGUAAUACCGGCAGCUCAAGUGGUAGCCGCGAUUAUUGGGCCUAAAGCGUUCGUAGCCGGAUAAGUAAGUCUUUGGUUAAAUCCUGCGACUUAACCGUGGGAAAUCUAGAGAUACUGCUUGUCUUGAGACCGGGAGAGGUUGGAGGUACUUUUAGGGUAGGGGUGAAAUCCUGUAAUCCUAAGGGGACCACCUGUGGCGAAGGCGUCCAACUGGAACGGGUCUGACGGUGAGGGACGAAACCUAGGGGAGCGAGCCGGAUUAGAUACCCGGGUAGUCCUAGGCGUAAAUGAUGCGAGUUAAGUGUGGGGGCAUCUACGAGAUGGCCCUGUGCUGUAGGGUAGCCGUUAAACUCGCCGCCUGGGGAGUACGGUCGCAAGGCUGAAACUUAAAGGAAUUGGCGGGGGAGCAC